This 585-nucleotide long non-coding RNA is filed under the name Mytilus galloprovincialis (Mediterranean mussel). Lineage: Eukaryota; Metazoa; Mollusca; Bivalvia; Mytilida; Mytilidae. The record is from RNAcentral.
UAUUUUCCGUGAUCGUACAAACUUUGAAUGCGAUUCACCAGGCUGCUUAUUUACUACUUCUAAAGGUUGAACUGCUAAAUAUUUAAAAGGAUGGUUGUGCUUCUUAAGGUGUUGGUAAAUGAUACUUUUGAAUUUAUUGGGUCUUUUAAAACGAUACAGAUGUUCUUGAGUGCGUUUAGAUAAAUAUCGUCCAGUUUCUCCUACGUACUGAAUACCACACCCCGGUUUGUUUCAUGUGAGUAAAUAAAUAAUACUGUUUGUUUUUCAAGUUAUAUCAGUUUCAAAAUUUAAAGAAAAUGUGCGACCAUUAAACGUGGACCUUACCGUAUUGUUGGUUGAAAGACGGGGACAUGUAAGUCAUUUUUUGGCAUGACACUUAUCGAUAGAAGGGUAACCACGUUUUUUAUUGUUAAAAAUGUUAGCGAUGGUAGUAUUUUUAGAUAACCGAUUUUGAAGAUUGAGACGUGUGGAUACCCUUUGAACAAGUUUAGUAUUUAGUAAUUUUCCAUUUCUAAGCUUCAUAAUUGUUUUGUUAGUGAAUUAUAUAAUAAAGGAGCAAAUAUUGGCGUCCAGAAUAUGAACCAG